CAGUCGCCACGGGAAUACGGAGGGAGCUAGCGUUGUUCGGAAUUACUGGGCGUAAAGCGCGCGUAGGCGGUUACUCAAGUCAGAGGUGAAAGCCCGGGGCUCAACCCCGGAACUGCCUUUGAAACUAGGUGACUAGAAUCUUGGAGAGGUCAGUGGAAUUCCGAGUGUAGAGGUGAAAUUCGUAGAUAUUCGGAAGAACACCAGUGGCGAAGGCGACUGACUGGACAAGUAUUGACGCUGAGGUGCGAAAGCGUGGGGAGCAAACAGGAUUAGAUACCCGAGUAGUCCCUGUCUCUUAUAA
Molecule: ribosomal RNA, 301 nt
Filed under: uncultured bacterium
Lineage: Bacteria
Description: partial 16S ribosomal RNA
Rfam family: Bacterial small subunit ribosomal RNA
Source: RNAcentral